AGUGAACGCUGGCGGUAGGCCUAACACAUGCAAGUCGAACGGCAGCACAGUAAGAGCUUGCUCUUACGGGUGGCGAGUGGCGGACGGGUGAGGAAUACAUCGGAAUCUACUUUUUCGUGGGGGAUAACGUAGGGAAACUUACGCUAAUACCGCAUACGACCUACGGGUGAAAGCAGGGGAUCUUCGGACCUUGCGCGAUUGAAUGAGCCGAUGUCGGAUUAGCUAGUUGGCGGGGGAAAGGCCCACCAAGGCGACGAUCCGUAGCUGGUCUGAGAGGAUGAUCAGCCACACUGGAACGGAGACACGGUCCAGACUCCUACGGGAGGCAGCAGUGGGGAAUAUUGGACAAUGGGCGCAAGCCUGAUCCAGCCAUACCGCGUGGGUGAAGAAGGCCUUCGGGUUGUAAAGCCCUUUUGUUGGGAAAGAAAAGCAGCAGGUUAAUACCCCGCUGUUCUGACGGUACCCAAAGAAUAAGCACCGGCUAACUUCGUG
RNAcentral lists this ribosomal RNA (492 nucleotides) under uncultured bacterium. Its description in RNAcentral is "partial 16S ribosomal RNA". It matches the Rfam family "Bacterial small subunit ribosomal RNA", at positions 29 to 507 of the family's 1533-position model. The record is from RNAcentral.